GAUGAACGCUGGCGGCGUGCCUAAUACAUGCAAGUCGAGCGAACGGACGAGAAGCUUGCUUCUCUGAUGUUAGCGGCGGACGGGUGAGUAACACGUGGAUAACCUACCUAUAAGUCUGGGAUAACUUCGGGAAACCGGCGCUAAUACCGGAUAAUAUUUUGAACCGCAUGGUUCAACAGUGAAAGACGGUCUUGCUGUCACUUAUAGCUGGAUCCGCGCUGCAUUAGCUAGUUGGUAAGGUAACGGCUUACCAAGGCAACGAUGCAUAGCCGACCUGAGAGGGUGGUCGGCCACACUGGAACUGAGACACGGUCCAGACUCCUACGGGAGGCAGCAGUAGGGAAUCUUCCGCAGUGGGCGAAAGCCUGACGGAGCAACGCCGCGUGAGUGAUGAAGGUCUUCGGAUCGUAAAACUCUGUUAUGAGGGAAGAACAUAUGUGUAAUUAACUGUGCACAUCUUGACGGUACCUAAUCAGAAAGCCACGGCUAACUACGUG
RNAcentral lists this ribosomal RNA (497 nucleotides) under uncultured bacterium. RNAcentral's name for it is "partial 16S ribosomal RNA". It matches the Rfam family "Bacterial small subunit ribosomal RNA", at positions 28 to 507 of the family's 1533-position model. The record is from RNAcentral.